GGUGUGUAUAAGUAUGUACACUGUACAAUAUUUAAAAUGAUAGUGAAACAACUUACGAAUGCAUAUAUAUAUAUAACAUUUAAAGAAUGUUUUACAACAGACAUGCACAAUGACUAUAUGACAAGUCCUUCUUCUCCUAUCUGUUUUAUUAUCUUCUUUAGAUAAAUUCUUUCUUGAUUGGCAAAUCAUAUGAAUGAAAUCUAUCAAUAUUCAAUUAUGAGAACAAUUACAUAAAAAU
Molecule: long non-coding RNA, 238 nt
Filed under: Mytilus galloprovincialis (Mediterranean mussel)
Lineage: Eukaryota; Metazoa; Mollusca; Bivalvia; Mytilida; Mytilidae
Source: RNAcentral